CAGUAGCCACGGUAAUACGGAGGGCGCGAGCGUUACCCGGAUUUACUGGGCGUAAAGGGCGUGUAGGCGGCCUGGGGCGUCCCAUGUGAAAGGCCACGGCUCAACCGUGGAGGAGCGUGGGAUACGCUCAGGCUAGAGGGUGGGAGAGGGUGGUGGAAUUCCCGGAGUAGCGGUGAAAUGCGCAGAUACCGGGAGGAACGCCGAUGGCGAAGGCAGCCACCUGGUCCACUUCUGACGCUGAGGCGCGAAAGCGAGGGGAGCAAACCGGAUUAGAUACCCCCGUAGUCCCUGUCUCUUAUAC
This 301-nucleotide ribosomal RNA is filed under the name uncultured bacterium. Its description in RNAcentral is "partial 16S ribosomal RNA". It matches the Rfam family "Bacterial small subunit ribosomal RNA", at positions 509 to 807 of the family's 1533-position model. The record is from RNAcentral.